This is a long non-coding RNA of Chrysemys picta bellii (western painted turtle), 305 nucleotides long. Lineage: Eukaryota; Metazoa; Chordata; Testudines; Emydidae. The record is from Ensembl.
CCCCACCCCGCUCGCCUCGUCCGACCCCCCCCCACCUCCGUCGCCCCCAGGUUGCAGCGGGAGGUGCGUCUGGCCCAGAAGUUGGCAUAUACGGCGUAUCGGGGGAAUCAUUAUCGAUACCACCAGCCCGGAAUGUACAUGGACGCCCGGCUGGCCCAGUCCUGCCAGGUGCACCAGUACCAGCGCCAGAAAAAGAUCCUGACCAAUGAGGAGAGCCCCCCAAAGCCCGUCCAGCAGCUGUCGACGGAGUCAGAGACUGAGAACGGCGACUUUACUGUGUACGAAUGUCCCGGACUGGCACCGGU